CCUACGGGAGGCAGCAGUAAGGAAUAUUGGUCAAUGGACGCAAGUCUGAACCAGCCAUGCCGCGUGCAGGAUGAAGGCCCUCUGGGUUGUAAACUGCUUUUAUAGGGGACGAAAAAGGGACUUUCUAGUUCAACUGACGGUACCCUAGGAAUAAGCACCGGCUAACUCCGUGCCAGCAGCCGCGGUAAUACGGAGGGUGCAAGCGUUAUCCGGAUUUACUGGGUUUAAAGGGUGCGUAGGUGGGUCGGUAAGUCAGCGGUGAAAUCUUCGAGCUUAACUCGGAAACUGCCAUUGAUACUAUCGAUCUUGAAUCAUCUGGAGGUAAGCGGAAUAUGUCAUGUAGCGGUGAAAUGCUUAGAUAUGACAUAGAACACCAAUUGCGAAGGCAGCUUACUACGGAUGUAUUGACACUGAGGCACGAAAGCGUGGGGAUCAAACAGGAUUAGAUACCCUGGUAGUCCACGCCCUAAACGAUGGAUACUCGACAUACGUGAUAUACUAUGUGUGUCUGAGCGAAAGCAUUAAGUAUCCCACCUGGGAAGUACGAUCGCAAGAUUGAAACUUAAAGGAAUUGACGGNGNGAGAGAGCGAGACGACGACGAGGGAGGAGG
RNAcentral lists this ribosomal RNA (611 nucleotides) under uncultured bacterium. Its description in RNAcentral is "bacterial SSU rRNA". It matches the Rfam family "Bacterial small subunit ribosomal RNA", at positions 338 to 951 of the family's 1533-position model. The record is from RNAcentral.